Molecule: ribosomal RNA, 573 nt
Filed under: uncultured bacterium
Lineage: Bacteria
Description: partial 16S ribosomal RNA
Rfam family: Bacterial small subunit ribosomal RNA
Source: RNAcentral
UGGGGAAUUUUGGACAAUGGGCGAAAGCCUGAUCCAGCAAUGCCGCGUGUGUGAAGAAGGCCUUCGGGUUGUAAAGCACUUUUGUCCGGAAAGAAAUCCUUGGCUCUAAUACAGUCGGGGGAUGACGGUACCGGAAGAAUAAGCACCGGCUAACUACGUGCCAGCAGCCGCGGUAAUACGUAUGGUGCAAGCGUUAAUCGGAAUUACUGGGCGUAAAGCGUGCGCAGGCGGUUUGCUAAGACCGAUGUGAAAUCCCCGGGCUCAACCUGGGAACUGCAUUGGUGACUGGCAGGCUAGAGUAUGGCAGAGGGGGGUAGAAUUCCACGUGUAGCAGUGAAAUGCGUAGAGAUGUGGAGGAAUACCGAUGGCGAAGGCAGCCCCCUGGGCCAAUACUGACGCUCGUGCACGAAAGCGUGGGGAGCAAAACAGGAUUAGAUACCCCUGGUAGUCCACGCCCUAAAACGAUGUCAACUAGUUGUUGGGGAUUCAUUUCCUUAGUAACGUAGCUAACGCGUGAAGUUGACCGCCUGGGGAGUACGGUCGCAAGAUUAAAACUUAAAGGAAUUGACGGGG